AUGUCUGGAGCGGCCGCGCUGCGGAGAUCCGGCAGCAACAGCCUCUCCGCCCUGCUGCGCGCCGAGGACGACGACCCCGGCGCCCUGGCCGCCACCAAGCGGCGCGACGGAGGGGGGCGCGGAGGGAGGAGGAGCUGCCUCCGCCUGUCCCUCGGCGGCGACGGCGGCUGCCGCGUCUGCGCCUGCGACGAGGUCGACCCCGCCCCGCGCCGGCGCGCGCCGGGGGACGGGGACGGCGACGGCGAGGCGGAGGCGGGUGCGGACGGGGAGGAGCAGCGCGUCCCCGCCGCGCUCCAGUGCUUCUCCUGGAAGAAGGGCCCCGCGGCCGCCGCGCGCAUCGGCCGGGCAUUGCGGGUCCAGGAUGAUGCGGUGGCGGAGGACGCGGCGCCGUCCCUCACGGCGCUCCCGGACGACGUGCUGGAGAUGGUGCUGAGCCGGCUCCCGCUGGCCUCGCUCCUUGCCGCGCGCUGCGUCUGCAGGCGGUGGCGGGACCUCACCGUCGCGCCGCAGCUGCUGCGCCUGCGCCGCGAGGGGCCGCGCCCGGCCACGACGCCCUGGCUCUUCCUGUUCGGGGUCGAGGCCGACGGUGGCUGGGGCGCCUCCGCUGCCGCCACGGCCGUGCACGCGCUCGACGUGGCCGCGCACCGGUGGCGCCGGGUCGGGGCGGCCCCGCUCAAAGGUAGGUUCCUGUUCUCCGUCGCCGGCGUCGGGGACGAGCUCUACGUCGUCGGGGGCCGCUCCGGGGGGUCCAGCGCCGGCUCCGUCAAGACAAAGACACACAAGGGAGUCAUGGUGUUCAGCCCUCUCACCGGCGCGUGGCGGAAGACCUCCCCGAUGCGGGCCGCGCGGUCACGGCCGGUGCUGGGGGUGUUCGAGAUGUCUGCCAGUCGCAGCAUUGUCCACGCCCGCGCUGAGAAGCAUGUCCGGCGCGCCAACGCCGGCGGCAAGUUCCGGCUGGGAGGCACCUCCGCCGUGUACGAGGACCCGCACCGGCUCUCGCUCCGGCGGCUCCGUCUCAGGGAUGUGCUGAACGAGGACACCGAUUCCACUGUCCCAGCUCACGGUCACGGCAAGGCUGCCAGGCAACAGAGGCAGCCAGCUCAGGCAAGGCAAGCCCUGAUCGCUGUGGGUGGCCGAGGGCCAUGGGACGAGCCCCUCGUGUCCGGCGAGGUAUACGAUCCGGUGACCGACAAAUGGGUCGAGAUCGCCGGGUUCCCCACCGACGUCGGCCUGGCGUGCUCCGGCGCCGUCUGCGGCGACACGUUCUACGUCUACUGCGAGUCCGACACGCUCGUGGCCUACCAUCUGGACGCCGGCUCAUGGUCCGUCGUCCAGACGUCCCGCCCACCACCCCGGCUCCGAGACUACACGCCGGCGCUGGUCUGCUGCGCGUCCCGGCUGUUCAUGCUCUGCGUCUCGUGGUGCGACCCGGCGAACCGGAGGGACAAGGUGGUGCGGAAGGUGUUCGAGCUGAACCUCACCUCCACACCGCUGCUCCGGUGGACCGAGGCCUCGGCCCACCCGGACGCGCCCAUGGAUUCCAACGCGGUGUUCGCCGCCGGCCAGGACAGGAUCUACGCCGUGGAGAUGUUCAGGAUCUUCGGCAAGGUCCUCGACUUCGCGACGGCGUGCCGGGUCUCCGGCGGCGAGCAGAGCUGGAGCCGCAUCGGCCGGGAGAACGCGGCCGCCGAGGCCGACGCCAUGUCCUGCCGGCUGAAGUCAAUGGCCAUGCUGCUCCUCUGA
Molecule: ribosomal RNA, 1743 nt
Filed under: Triticum aestivum (bread wheat)
Lineage: Eukaryota; Viridiplantae; Streptophyta; Magnoliopsida; Poales; Poaceae
Description: partial small subunit ribosomal RNA
Source: RNAcentral